Long non-coding RNA from Chinchilla lanigera (long-tailed chinchilla), 901 nucleotides. RefSeq lists it as uncharacterized. Lineage: Eukaryota; Metazoa; Chordata; Mammalia; Rodentia; Chinchillidae. The record is from RefSeq and is a predicted model, not a curated record. The transcript has 2 exons.
CUCCCACUGCCUGCCUGGCUCCCCUUUCUUCCUGGCCCGGUCACUAUUGGCCUGCUGAGGUCCACGUGGCCAGCCCCCAAUCCUAUGACUGAGAGUGGGAGGCCCAGAGGUCUAGGCCACUCGCCUUGUGAAGCAGGGGGAAGAAGGGUGGAGUCACCCACCUUUGAACUGGAGACAUUCACCGGUGUCACGGUGACAUUCAGCGACACACUGAGUCACAGCGUGGGCACCGAGGAGCUCCAGAUGUGGUUGCACGAUUCCUGGCUGGGCUCCAGCACCUGGCGCUCCCGCCCCGCACACCCCACACCCACCUCCUUGCGUCAACCCCAGCUCUGCUGGCGCUGCCACCUGCACAGCCUGCGGUGAGAGGGCUGACAUCAACACGAGCGGCAUGACCUGGGUGUCCCCGGAGCAGGUCGCCAGCACUGGAGAGUCCACUGCUUGGCCACUACAGCAUGUCUCCUAACCCCAUGGCGGGACCCAGCAAAGUCAAGUCCACCCCAGCUCCAGGUCCUCCCUCCCCUGCCUUCCCUGACUUGUCCUGCCUCAGCCUCCAUUUACUGGAGUGUGAAGUGGCCAAGCGCCACCUUUACCACCCUGCCUCUCCUGCUGUCUGAGGUUAGAGUCGGGCCUCAGAGCUCGGACUCUCGGACCCACCAGCGUUCCUCCCGCUCCAUCAGGCACUGCCUCCUCCUGGGCCCCACGGGCCACACACGGUCGCUUUGAAGAUGCCCAGCCAGGCCCAGCUGGCUGCCCUGUGACCUGGCCAGCCCACAGAGGUCCACACCCUGGGUGUCACAGCCCCGAAGGGUCGCAGAGCACGAGAUGGGGAGCACAUGGCUUGGAGAGUUUCGCUGAAUUUUGGACACUGAAAUUCAGUAAAUUCUUUGCUUUUGAUUGG